GAUGAAGAACGGAGCAAAAUGCGAUAAGUAAUGUGAAUUGCAGAAUUCAGUGAAUCAUCGAAUCUUUGAACGCACAUUGCGCCCGCCAGUAUUCUGGCGGGCAUGCCUGUUCGAGCGUCAUUUCAACCCUCAAGCACAGCUUGGUGUUGGGACUCGCGUUAAUUCGCGUUCCUCAAAUUGAUUGGCGGUCACGUCGAGCUUCCAUAGCGUAGUAGUAAAACCCUCGUUACUGGUAAUCGUCGCGGCCACGCCGUUAAACCCCAACUUCUGAAUGUUGACCUCGGAUCAGGUAGGAAUACCCGCUGAACUUAAGCAUAUCAAUAAGCGGAGGA
RNAcentral lists this unclassified non-coding RNA (332 nucleotides) under soil metagenome. RNAcentral's name for it is "partial contains 5.8S ribosomal RNA, internal transcribed spacer 2, and large subunit ribosomal RNA". The stretch from base 1 to 120 matches the Rfam family "5.8S ribosomal RNA", at positions 35 to 154 of the family's 154-position model. The record is from RNAcentral.